AUCCAGCUGACGAGUCCCAAAUAAGAUUAAGUGCGUCUCCUGGAU
Molecule: non-coding RNA, 45 nt
Filed under: Schistosoma mattheei
Lineage: Eukaryota; Metazoa; Platyhelminthes; Trematoda; Strigeidida; Schistosomatidae
Source: RNAcentral